RNAcentral lists this long non-coding RNA (1071 nucleotides) under Homo sapiens (human). RNAcentral describes it as "HSALNT0037164". The record is from RNAcentral. Lineage: Eukaryota; Metazoa; Chordata; Mammalia; Primates; Hominidae.
AAAUAUUCCUAGACAAGGUCAGACGGAAGUGGAAGGUACUGGAGCUGUUGUUUCUCUGCAUGUGGUGAAGGAGUAUUUUGUGGAUCCAAAGUAGACAGGGCAUAAGCAGAAAAUGCAGGUGACCCCAGCAGCCGCUGAGCCGGCCUGGAUUCGGGCAAAGAAAGCAGCGUCCUCCUGGUGCAAACAGACACAGCCACAAGUGCAGGACACGCAGUCUAGAAAGUCCGGAAGAUGCUGUACUUCAGAUUCUAGAAUUAGGAGAAUUUGACCAGCUUAAUAAGUGUCCAAAUAAGUGAUUUCUACUCCCACUUCCUUAACAUGCAAUUGCCGAAUAAACAAACCCACAAAGGCAAGGCAGCAAUGUGUAUUCUGAAACCAGGUUUUUAAGGCCUGAUUUGGAGUUGUCUUCCUAUUGGACCCCAGCUCUUGGGUUCAAAGUCGACGAUCAUUUGUACGAAUGCCAUGGUAUAUUUAAGUGAGUGGUUACAGCUGUUUCAGUUUCUUCCUCGCCAGUGUUUGGGGAUCGGUGAGUGGGCCAAGCCAGGACUCACCCCCUGCAAGUUCACAGAGGCCUCAAACUCUGACAAGCAGAAGUUUCCAUCUUAAAGACUGACAGGUAUACCUAGAGAUUGAAAAUUAACAUCCAGAAUAUUGCUUUCCCAAACAUUAUAUGUUUAUUUAAGACUCUGAAUGCUAUGUUGGCUCUAGCCUUGAAUCUCUGCACAUUUCAAGGGAUUCUGUACUUCUUGAUUACUAAAACAUAUGGAAAUUGUACAAAUCCAGCAUGAAAGGCAUUCUUUUUCUUUUUAAAGGGACUGCUUCUAUAUUCCACAUUUCAAAAACCUCAUCUGGGUUAGAAAUGUAGGUAUGUCCUUCACUGAUGAGGUUUGGAAACAUUUUGAAAUCUCAUUUUUAAACAAUAAAGAAAUAUUUUUACGACACUUUAAAAAGUUUUAAUUCUAAUUGUUCAUUAUGUCACUAAUGUGUCAUUCGCUUGGCUAUAGUAGUUGGAUUUUUCUGAAACGUUUUGGUAUAUUAUUUUCUUCACAUUUGUGACUUCAACAUAGUAAC